GGGUAGAGUGAUGCGUGACCACCUGCCCCAUGCUCCAGAAUAGCUCUUGGAAACGGGUGGUAAUGCUGGAUGCUCCAACUUGACGCAUGUCUUGUUGGGAAAGUGUUUAGUGGCAUGGGAUGGGGUCGCGUCCUAUCAGCUUGUAGGCGGGGUAAUGGCCCACCUAGGCUUCGACGGGUAGCCGGCCUGAGAGGGCGGACGGCCACAUUGGGACUGAGAUACGGCCCAGACUCCUACGGGAGGCAGCAGUU
RNAcentral lists this ribosomal RNA (251 nucleotides) under uncultured Gardnerella sp. RNAcentral describes it as "partial 16S ribosomal RNA". It matches the Rfam family "Bacterial small subunit ribosomal RNA", at positions 100 to 355 of the family's 1533-position model. Lineage: Bacteria; Bacillati; Actinomycetota; Actinomycetes; Bifidobacteriales; Bifidobacteriaceae. The record is from RNAcentral.